RNAcentral lists this ribosomal RNA (324 nucleotides) under Triticum aestivum (bread wheat). Its description in RNAcentral is "partial small subunit ribosomal RNA". Lineage: Eukaryota; Viridiplantae; Streptophyta; Magnoliopsida; Poales; Poaceae. The record is from RNAcentral.
AUGGUAGAUGGGUCAUGGGAGAUGGGGCCACUCGACUCAGCCAAGGCAUCGGAGGACCAAAUCUGGACCGGUGGGUGUGCCUCCUCCGCCCCUUCUCUCGUUGCUCUGCUUUCCCCGUCAUUCCUUCUGGCUUCUCGCCUCUUCACACUCCGCUCCUCUUCCUGGCGGCAGAAGCAGUUCACCAGCACGGGCGACAGAGAGAUUGGACGAGGAAGCCGAGCCGUUCGCGAGGCUAUCGACUCGCCCUUCGCUCGUGGGGCAGAGAAUAACCAGGAGGUGGAGCGGUCCACGGCGUCGUCGCCCUCGCCUUCGAGCCAUCCAUGA